Vulpes vulpes (red fox) is the source of this 107-nucleotide small nuclear RNA. Lineage: Eukaryota; Metazoa; Chordata; Mammalia; Carnivora; Canidae. The record is from Ensembl.
GUGCUCGCUUCUGCAGCACAUAUACUAAAACCGGAAUGACAUAGAGAAGAUUAGCAUGGCCCCUGCACAAGGAUGAGAUGCAAAUUUGUGAAACAUUCCAUAUUUUU